GAUGAACGCUGGCGGCGUGCUUAACACAUGCAAGUCGAACGAAGCACUUUAUUUGAUUUCUUCGGAAUGAAGAUUUUGUGACUGAGUGGCGGACGGGUGAGUAACGCGUGGGUAACCUGCCUCAUACAGGGGGAUAACAGUUGGAAACGACUGCUAAUACCGCAUAAGCGCACAGGGUCGCAUGACCUGGUGCGAAAAACUCCGGUGGUAUGAGAUGGACCCGCGUCUGAUUAGCCAGUUGGUGGGGUAACGGCCUACCAAAGCGACGAUCAGUAGCCGACCUGAGAGGGUGACCGGCCACAUUGGGACUGAGACACGGCCCAAACUCCUACGGGAGGCAGCAGUGGGGAAUAUUGCACAAUGGGGGAAACCCUGAUGCAGCGACGCCGCGUGAGCGAAGAAGUAUUUCGGUAUGUAAAGCUCUAUCAGCAGGGAAGAAGAAAUGACGGU
This 450-nucleotide ribosomal RNA is filed under the name uncultured bacterium. Its description in RNAcentral is "bacterial SSU rRNA". It matches the Rfam family "Bacterial small subunit ribosomal RNA", at positions 28 to 476 of the family's 1533-position model. The record is from RNAcentral.